Oryzias melastigma (Indian medaka) is the source of this 1335-nucleotide RNA transcript. It is a transcript of the gene named zinc finger, MYND-type containing 12, with no coding region annotated. NCBI's taxonomy places the organism in Eukaryota, Metazoa, Chordata, Actinopteri, Beloniformes, Adrianichthyidae. The transcript has 8 exons. The record is from RefSeq and is a predicted model, not a curated record.
GAAUGGUUUCCAUGGGAACCGUUAACUUCCUGAACUGAUGGUAGUUCUGUAAGGUAGCUUAUUUUUUCUGAUAAAAAAGAAGUUUUUAAGAGGGUAUUUCUGGAGGUAAUGGGGGACAAAUCUUCAGUUUGGGGGCAAACUUGCAGGAUAAUUCCUCUGGCUUUUCCCAAAGGACAGGAAAAAGUCUGUGAACUCUGUCAGAGUCCUGCUCGCCUCCAGUGCGCCACGUGCCGAGUCACCUUUUACUGUCAUGCUGAGCAUCAGCGGACCGACUGGGUGGGGAUCCAUGAAAGAAUCUGCAAACUGCUUGUUCCCGUCCGCACAUGCAUGCCAAACAACACGAAAGAAAUUCAGCUCAAAAAGAUGGAGUUGAUAAAGAUUUCCACACUGGUGGCACAAAGCAAGCUUUUUCAGGGCAAACACCAGGAGGCUUUGCCCGCUGCCCAUUUGUGCUCACGAUACACAGAGGAUGUCCACGGCCCACAGUCUGUCCAGCAGGUUCCUGCUUUUCUGCUUCUUGCCGAGGCAAACAUAGGUCUGGGUAAUCUGGCACUUGCAGCAGAGCUCCUGUCCCAGGCAGAGUGGGUGUUGCUGAAGACUCCUGAACACAGUAACUCGCUUACCCAGCAGCUGAACAGGAACUUUGGCCGCCUUCAUGCUGCAACUGGAAACUUGGAAGAUGCUCGGUUCAACUUUGCAAAUGACAUUUUCUUUGCCACCGUGGAGUUUGGCAUGAACAGCACAGUCACUGCUUGCAGCCUGUUUCUCAUGGCUGAUGUUUUCGCCAAAAUGAAGAAAAUGUCCAUCACUCGUUCCAUGUAUCAGGAGGUGGCACGCAUUUGGUGCGACCAUCUGACAAAACUACUGGAAAUCUACAAGAAAAACAUUCCAAAUCCUGCCAUGUUGUCAGAGUCCUUCCACGGUUCGUCCAGUCUAAAUAUAAAUCCAAGCGAGCUGAAGGGGAGCGGAUGUUAGGAGCCAUACUGGAGUUUUUGCAGAAGGACGUCAGUAAAGAUUUAACCCAGAUUGCUCUGGUGACCUACAGUCUGGCUGUCCUGCGGCUCCUGGACGGAGACUCCCACAAGGCUCUGGAGUUUGGCAGCGCGGCCCUGCAGGCCAGCCAGCAGAUAUUAAAGCGUGACCUGACAGACGCCAUCCAGGGUCUCCUGCAGCUGCUGCAGACAAACCCGGAACCUCCAUCGGACUAGCCGCCUCACCUCUGCUGCUUUCUCCUCACUUUUUGAAUGUUUUGCAUGUUUUUUUUUUUUUUUAUCUGUUUAGCUCCAAACAAUCCUCCCUGCAGGAGGGAAACAUUAAAUCACUCCUCUAAAAUGC